RNAcentral lists this transfer RNA (71 nucleotides) under Marmota monax (woodchuck). RNAcentral's name for it is "tRNA.Ala". The stretch from base 11 to 66 matches the Rfam family "tRNA", at positions 9 to 63 of the family's 71-position model. Rfam says of the family: Transfer RNA (tRNA) molecules are approximately 80 nucleotides in length. Their secondary structure includes four short double-helical elements and three loops (D, anti-codon, and T loops). Lineage: Eukaryota; Metazoa; Chordata; Mammalia; Rodentia; Sciuridae. The record is from RNAcentral.
GCUGGGGUCGGGCUCGGUGGUAGAGCACUUGCCUAGCAUGCAUGAGGGACUGGGUUCGAUUCUCAGUAGCA